GACGUAGGGCGCGAGCGUUGUCCGGAUUUAUUGGGCGUAAAGAGCUCGUAGGCGGCUUGUCGCGUCGUCCGUGAAAACCUGCGGCUCAACUGCAGGCUGGCGGUCGAUACGGGCAGGCUGGAGUUCGGUAGGGGAGACUGGAAUUCCUGGUGUAGCGGUGAAAUGCGCAGAUAUCAGGAGGAACACCCGUAGCGAAGGUGGUACUCUGGGCCGAAACUGACGCUGAGGAGCGAAAGCGUGGGGAGCGAACAGG
RNAcentral lists this ribosomal RNA (253 nucleotides) under uncultured prokaryote. RNAcentral describes it as "partial 16S ribosomal RNA". It matches the Rfam family "Bacterial small subunit ribosomal RNA", at positions 524 to 776 of the family's 1533-position model. The record is from RNAcentral.